GCAGACACAUUCCAGCCAAUCAGCAGCAGACCCUCCCUCCCAGACCCUCCCACCUCCUGGACAGCAUCAAUUGUGAAGCUGCAUUCUUAGUGAGCUGUCCAGGAGGUGGGAGGGUCUGGGAGGGAGGGUCUGCUGCUGAUUGGCUGGAAUGUGUCUG
RNAcentral lists this microRNA precursor (157 nucleotides) under Pelobates cultripes (western spadefoot toad). Lineage: Eukaryota; Metazoa; Chordata; Amphibia; Anura; Pelobatidae. The record is from RNAcentral.